CACCACCACUGCACUGGAGUGACAGCAAAGAUUGUAAGCUCAACAUACUGAUGUGGAGCCUCUCAAGCCAGCUAAGAAGAAUUAAAUAAGCAAUUUUCCACCCACUUUUAUGAAGAUCGACCCCAAUAUAUAAAAAGAAGAUAGUGACUACUGAGGAUGGUGACCACUGAAAAUGAUCAAACGGUAUUGGCAUUGUUGAAGACCUGUCUUCAUACUUAGGUAAACAGAGAUGUGUGGAAUAAGGACUCAAGCAAACUCAAGCCAUCUUUCUUGUGAGAGUGAGGCUCAGCUGGUUUUCACCCAUAAUUGUUCAUGAAUAAAAUUGCCAAGAGUUAUGAAUGCAGUUUCUGGGGAAUUUCUGAAGAGGAACUGGUCUUGGCUGAGAGAGAUGACAGACUUGGCGAUGGAGCAAGAACAACACAACAGAGAAGCCUAGGUCCCGGAAACAGACUACAGUUGGAUGAAGCCAGUUUAAAUGAUUUUUUAGAAACUUUUCCAAGAAUUUGGGCCAGCUUUUUGUACGGUGAACAGGGAUGUUUUUGUAAUCAGCACAUUAUGUGUUGUAUUUGGUGUAUA
Molecule: long non-coding RNA, 576 nt
Organism: Callorhinchus milii (elephant shark)
Lineage: Eukaryota; Metazoa; Chordata; Chondrichthyes; Chimaeriformes; Callorhinchidae
Exons: 3
Source: RefSeq, a predicted model, not a curated record